CUUCCUCCUUCUCCUCUUAUAGCCGCGGACGGAUGCCUGAUGCGGAAGGGAGAUGGCAGACGCGGUGAGGACGCGGGGAGGAGUCGAUCUUGGCGUGAUCCGGGCGCUGUGAGGAGCUGGAUGCGGUGAUCACGGGCGGAAGCUUCGUGGACGGCUGCUGGGAGGAGCUGGAUGCGGUGAGAUGGACGGCUGCGAGGCGGAGGAGGAGCGAUCUUGGC
This 218-nucleotide long non-coding RNA is filed under the name Phoenix dactylifera (date palm). RNAcentral's name for it is "long non-coding RNA (PDAC_LNC018026)". Lineage: Eukaryota; Viridiplantae; Streptophyta; Magnoliopsida; Arecales; Arecaceae. The record is from RNAcentral.